GACGAACGCUGGCGGCGUGCUUAACACAUGCAAGUCGAACGGAAAGGCCCUGCUUUUGUGGGGUGCUCGAGUGGCGAACGGGUGAGUAACACGUGAGUAACCUGCCCUUGACUUUGGGAUAACUUCUGGAGACUGGGGCUCAUACCGGAUAGGAGCUCCUGCUGCAUGGUGGGGGUUGGAAAGUUUCGGCGGUUGGGGAUGGACUCGCGGCUUAUCAGCUUGUUGGUGGGGUAGUGGCUUACCAAGGCUUUGACGGGUAGCCCGCCUGAGAGGGUGACCGGCCACAAUGGGACUGAGAGACGGCGCAGACUCCUACGGGAGGCAGCAGUGGAGAAUAUUGCACAAUGGGCGGAAGCCUGAGGCAGCAACGCCGCGAGCGGGAUGACGGCCUUCUGGUUGUAAACCGCUGUCGCCGGUGACGAAGCGUGAGUGACGGUAAUGGGUAAAGAAGCACCGGCUAACUACGUG
Molecule: ribosomal RNA, 468 nt
Filed under: uncultured bacterium
Lineage: Bacteria
Description: partial 16S ribosomal RNA
Rfam family: Bacterial small subunit ribosomal RNA
Source: RNAcentral